AGUGAACGCUGGCGGUAGGCCUAACACAUGCAAGUCGGACGGCAGCACAGUAAGAGCUUGCUCUUACGGGUGGCGAGUGGCGGACGGGUGAGGAAUACAUCGGAAUCUACUUUUUCGUGGGGGAUAACGUAGGGAAACUUACGCUAAUACCGCAUACGACCUACGGGUGAAAGCAGGGGAUCUUCGGACCUUGCGCGAUUGAAUGAGCCGAUGUCGGAUUAGCUAGUUGGCGGGGUAAAGGCCCACCAAGGCGACGAUCCGUGGCUGGUCUGAGAGGAUGAUCGGCCACACUGGAACUGAGACACGGUCCAGACUCCUACGGGAGGCAGCAGUGGGGAAUAUUGGACAAUGGGCGCAAGCCUGAUCCAGCCAUACCGCGUGGGUGAAGAAGGCCUUCGGGUUGUAAAGCCCUUUUGUUGGGAAAGAAAAGCAGCAGGUUAAUACCCCGCUGUUCUGACGGUACCCAAAGAAUAAGCACCGGCUAACUUCGUG
This 492-nucleotide ribosomal RNA is filed under the name uncultured bacterium. RNAcentral's name for it is "partial 16S ribosomal RNA". It matches the Rfam family "Bacterial small subunit ribosomal RNA", at positions 29 to 507 of the family's 1533-position model. The record is from RNAcentral.